UCCGGGGAACUUUAGGAAUAAAGAGUCCGAACCAGGUCAGGAUCGGAAGGUAGCAGCCUUAAGGAUGUCACUUUAUGCCUAAAGCCCUCUCCGGUCUU
This 98-nucleotide signal recognition particle RNA is filed under the name Chlamydiota bacterium. RNAcentral describes it as "Chlamydiae bacterium (freshwater metagenome) signal recognition particle sRNA small type". It matches the Rfam family "Bacterial small signal recognition particle RNA". Rfam says of the family: The signal recognition particle (SRP) is a universally conserved ribonucleoprotein involved in the co-translational targeting of proteins to membranes. The record is from RNAcentral. Lineage: Bacteria; Pseudomonadati; Chlamydiota.